CUUAAUUCCGAUGCACGCGAAGACCCUCCCAAGGCCUUGACAUGUAUUGCUAAAGCACGUGAAAAGCGGGGACUUCGGGGACCUUACACAGGUGCUGCAUGGCCGUCGUCAGCUCGUGUCGUGAGAUGUUUGGUUAAGUCCAGCAACGAGCGCAACCCCUGUGAAUAGUUGCCAGCACGUAAUGGUGGGGACUCUAUUCAGACUGCCCAGGUCAACUGGGAGGAAGGUGGGGAUGACGUCAGGUCGGUAUGGCCCUUACGCCUUGGGCUGCACACGUACUACAAUGCUCAGUACAAUGAGAACCGAUACCGCGAGGUGGAGGAAGUCUGCAAAACUGAGCCCAGUUCGGAUUGGAGGCUGCAACUCGCCUCCAUGAAGUUGGAAUCGCUAGUAAUGGCACAUCAGCUACGGUGCCGUGAAUACGUUCCCGGGUCUUGUACACACCGCCCGUCACAUCAUGGAAGCCGAUCGCACCCGAAGUAUCUGCGCUAACUAUUUAUAGAAGCAAG
This 509-nucleotide ribosomal RNA is filed under the name uncultured bacterium. RNAcentral describes it as "bacterial SSU rRNA". It matches the Rfam family "Bacterial small subunit ribosomal RNA", at positions 945 to 1453 of the family's 1533-position model. The record is from RNAcentral.